Small nuclear RNA from Suncus etruscus (white-toothed pygmy shrew), 107 nucleotides. The record is from RefSeq and is a predicted model, not a curated record. NCBI's taxonomy places the organism in Eukaryota, Metazoa, Chordata, Mammalia, Eulipotyphla, Soricidae.
GUACUUCCUGUGGCAGCACAUAUACAACAUUGGAAACAAUACAGAAAAGAGUAUCAGGACCCCUUUGCAAGGGUGGCAAACAGAUUCACGAGAUAUUUCGUAUCCAA